Neofelis nebulosa (Clouded leopard) is the source of this 1100-nucleotide long non-coding RNA. RefSeq lists it as uncharacterized. The transcript is spliced from 3 exons. NCBI's taxonomy places the organism in Eukaryota, Metazoa, Chordata, Mammalia, Carnivora, Felidae. The record is from RefSeq and is a predicted model, not a curated record.
AUUUCCUAACGGAUGUGAGGUGAUAUCUCACUGUGGUUUUGACUUGCAUUUCUCCGUGAAUUAGUGAUGCUGAGCACCUUUUCACGUACCUGUGGGCUAUACUUUUCCCAGCAUCGUUUAUUGAAGAGACUGUCCCCAGAGGGACUUUUUCGAUUACAUUUCUUGCUGCAUUCCAAGCAUCUAGAAUACUGUGUUGCACGUAGUUGGUGCUCAAGCCAUCCUUUGGGACAAAUCUUAUAUCUGCAAGGCAAGGACAGUGAUGAUUCCUUACCACCUCCCAGAAGAGGACAGGGAGAAUCCAGUGACAGAGGAAAGAGUACGAGGAGAGACAGAGCUCACAUCACAGAGAUCCUGGGGGGAUGUCAUUUUCUACCUUCUUUCUAAGGUUUCUGUAAAAAGCUCCAAAUUUUUCUUUCUGAGUUGUGGCCACUUUCAAGAGCGUAAAAUCCGAGCCAUGGUGACUGCCACACGAUUUCACCUCCGGCUGCUGGUGUGAGAUGCAGUGAUGGGGCUCCGGGGGUUGACAUCUAAGUCGCAGCCCUGGGGAAGAGUGCAGUUAGAAAUGAGGGCUCUCUGAUGUAAUGCUGAUACCAGUGGAGUUUGGGGCUUUGUGCCAUGACUUUAAGCAAUUCAGGCAGGGAAGGUUGAAGGAGCUGAUGGAAAGGAACAGCAGCAGAAGGAGGGGGAGAUCAAGACUGAAGAGGAGGGAGAGAACAAACAGAGACGACUCGUGCUAUCUUUAAUCCACGUUAAGUUCACCUGCUACCUGGUACAGGGACCAAGGGAAAUCUUCAACUUAGUUUUUGGUCAGUGUAGGCCGGUGACCCUCAAAUCUACACUUGGAACAACUCUCCAUCAUUCGAUAACAUUUUCUGCCCAGCCUACCUUAGUUGGUAUAAAGAAGUUGUGGGGCGCCUGGGUGGCUCAAUCGGUUAAGCGUCCGACUUCGGCUCAGGUCACGAUCUCACGGUUUGUGGGUUCGAGCCCCACGUCGGGCUCUGUGCUGACAGCUCAGAGUCUGGAGCCUGCUUCAGAUUCUGUGUCUCCCUCUCUCUCUGCCCCUUCCCCAGCUCACAUUCUGUCUCUGUCUCAAAAAGAAA